This 751-nucleotide ribosomal RNA is filed under the name uncultured euryarchaeote. RNAcentral's name for it is "SSU rRNA". It matches the Rfam family "Archaeal small subunit ribosomal RNA", at positions 104 to 859 of the family's 1478-position model. The record is from RNAcentral. Lineage: Archaea; Methanobacteriati; Methanobacteriota.
GUAACCUGCCCUGUGGUUGGGGAUAACUUUGGGAAACUGAGGAUAAGACCCUAUAAGAAAAGGAUACUGGAAUGUUCCUUUUCUCAAAGGCAACGCCAUAGGAUGAGCCGGCGGCCGAUUAGGUUGUUGGUGAGGUAACGGCUCACCAAGCCUUAGAUCGGUAGGGGCAUUGAAAGAUGUCGCCUCGCGAAGGGCACGGAGGUACUGGCCCUAGCCCUACGGGGUGCAGCAGGCGCGAAAUCUUUACAAUACACGAAAGUGUGAUAAGGGAACUCUGAGUGCUCAUGCAUUGCAUGGGCUUUUGCCAAGGGUAAAUAUCUUGGAGAAUAAGUGGUGGGCAAGACCGGUGCCAGCCGCCGCGGUAACACCGGCGCCACAAGUGGUGGCCUAGUUUAUUUGGCCUAAAGCGUCCGUAGCUGGUUAGUUAAAUCUCUUGUGAAAUUGUUGAGCUCAACUCAACAGCGUGCAGGAGAAACUGGCUAACUUGAGACUGGGAAGAGUUAGAAGUAUUCUAUGGGGAGCGGUAAAAUGCUAUAAUCCACAGAAGACUACCGAUGGCGAAGGCAUCUAACUAGAACAGAUCUGACAGUGAGGGACGAAAGCCAGGGGAGCAAAACGGAUUAGAUACCCGAGUAGUCCUGGCCGUAAACACUGCGAGCUAGGUGUUGCACAUUCCUAGAGAAUGUGCAGUGUCGAAGCGAAGGCGCUAAGCUCGCCGCCUGGGAAGUACGGUCGCAAGACUGAAACUUAA